CCCUAAGCACAAAUUCAUAUGAGCGGCCUCAAUCUUAAUUUCUCAUCCACGUUCUUCACUGCCUCUCUGCCUCUAACCCAAUCCCAAAUUCCAAACCCUAAAUUUCCUCAAUUCCAGCAAUACUCUUUCAGAAAUCGACAGGCUAAACGAUGCCGUCUCGUAGUACCACAUGCUAGCUCUUCCAAGCUUCCGCUCCUCCCCUUUGAUAUAAAGCAGGAUUCUUUAUGAGGUCAUGAGGAGAUCACGUGGUGAGCAUUGGAGGGAAGAAAAGGCUUUAGUUCUCAAUCAUGAAGACUUUUGAAGAAGGUUGAGAUAAGUUUGCUGAAUUUUAAUCUUGGUUUUGCUCCUUUUUUUUUGUUGACUCUCUUUGGUUUUAAUUAUUGUAGAUUAGGAUUGGGUGUGGACAAACCGGGCCACACAUGAGUGUUGCUAGAGUCCAUUGUUUAGGUCAAUGUGUGAAUGAUCUUUGUUAUUUCAUGGUUUAGAAUGAAAUUUUGAUUUGAUUUAACCUGACUUUUUAGCCAAU
Long non-coding RNA from Vitis riparia (riverbank grape), 526 nucleotides. RefSeq lists it as uncharacterized. NCBI's taxonomy places the organism in Eukaryota, Viridiplantae, Streptophyta, Magnoliopsida, Vitales, Vitaceae. The record is from RefSeq and is a predicted model, not a curated record. The transcript is spliced from 2 exons.